AGGUAGAGGAGCAAAUUUUAUCAGUAUCAUUAAAGAGGACAAGUACCUAAGAUGUAAUGAAAAAGGAAAAUUUGCCGAAGUGUAUAAAAUAUACUUGUAUUUUAUAUAGCUGGGAUUGUAUAGAAAAUGUACAAUACUGUCACAAUAUAAUUGUGGGGUGCUAUCA
This 166-nucleotide non-coding RNA is filed under the name uncultured Clostridium sp. RNAcentral describes it as "Lysine riboswitch". It matches the Rfam family "Lysine riboswitch aptamer". From Rfam's summary of the family: Riboswitches are metabolite binding domains within certain messenger RNAs that serve as precision sensors for their corresponding targets. The record is from RNAcentral. Lineage: Bacteria; Bacillati; Bacillota; Clostridia; Eubacteriales; Clostridiaceae.